RNAcentral lists this ribosomal RNA (227 nucleotides) under uncultured bacterium. RNAcentral describes it as "partial 16S ribosomal RNA". It matches the Rfam family "Bacterial small subunit ribosomal RNA", at positions 524 to 751 of the family's 1533-position model. The record is from RNAcentral.
UACGUAGGGUGCAAGCGUUAAUCGGAAUUACUGGGCGUAAAGCGUGCGCAGGCGGUUAUAUAAGACAGUUGUGAAAUCCCCGGGCUCAACCUGGGAACUGCAUCUGUGACUGUAUAGCUAGAGUACGGUAGAGGGGGAUGGAAUUCCGCGUGUAGCAGUGAAAUGCGUAGAUAUGCGGAGGACACCGAUGGCGAAGGCAAUCCCCUGGACCUGUACUGACGCUCAUG